RNAcentral lists this transfer RNA (73 nucleotides) under Deltaproteobacteria bacterium. RNAcentral describes it as "tRNA-Met". It matches the Rfam family "tRNA". Rfam says of the family: Transfer RNA (tRNA) molecules are approximately 80 nucleotides in length. Their secondary structure includes four short double-helical elements and three loops (D, anti-codon, and T loops). Lineage: Bacteria; Pseudomonadati; Myxococcota; Myxococcia. The record is from RNAcentral.
GGGCCCGUAGCUCAGGUGGCAGAGCUGCCGGCUCAUAACCGGCGGGUCCCAGGUUCGAAUCCUGGCGGGCCCA